Molecule: non-coding RNA, 106 nt
Organism: Gossypium hirsutum (cotton)
Lineage: Eukaryota; Viridiplantae; Streptophyta; Magnoliopsida; Malvales; Malvaceae
Source: Rfam
AUACCAUGAUGAGGGUAUUUUUUUAAUAAUUCCUUUAAUCUCUCCCAUGCCUCAUACAAGGAUUCAUCAUCCAAUUUUUGAAAUGUAGUGAUCUGAUUUUGCAACU